Molecule: ribosomal RNA, 100 nt
Filed under: Sporosarcina newyorkensis
Lineage: Bacteria; Bacillati; Bacillota; Bacilli; Caryophanales; Caryophanaceae
Description: partial 23S rRNA. Bacterial LSU
Rfam family: Bacterial large subunit ribosomal RNA
Source: RNAcentral
AAGUAAGAUCCCUCAAAGAUGAUGAGGUGGAUAGGUCUGGGGUGGAAGCACGGCGACGUGUGCAGCUGACAGAUACUAAUCGAUCGAGGACUUAACCUAU